GAUUUUACACCAAAUAAUGUAAGCUAAACUUCCUCAAAUUGAGUCAAUAUUUUUUUACAAUCUUAUAUAUGAUCAACAAUAUACUUGUGAUACCUCCUCUUCUCUUUAGUUUCAUCUUUGUCUUCUUCUUUGCACCUCUUAAUAAAAAAAAUCAUCCAAAAAAGGUAUAUUCUUUUUAAGAAUAAAAUCCUUCAAGACUUUAUUCAUCUCAUUCAUCAUAUGUGUAAUUAAAUUAGUAGCACUUUAAA
Molecule: long non-coding RNA, 248 nt
Filed under: Physcomitrium patens
Lineage: Eukaryota; Viridiplantae; Streptophyta; Bryopsida; Funariales; Funariaceae
Description: long non-coding RNA (PPAT_LNC001466)
Source: RNAcentral